This 564-nucleotide ribosomal RNA is filed under the name Pristimantis cruentus (Chiriqui robber frog). Its description in RNAcentral is "partial 16S ribosomal RNA". It matches the Rfam family "Bacterial large subunit ribosomal RNA", at positions 1832 to 2597 of the family's 2925-position model. The record is from RNAcentral. Lineage: Eukaryota; Metazoa; Chordata; Amphibia; Anura; Strabomantidae.
CACCUCUUGCCCAACUAUAAGAGGCCCCGCCUGCCCAGUGACUCCUUGUUCAACGGCCACGGUAUCCUAACCGCGCAAAGGUAGCGUAAUCACUUGUUUUCUAAAUAAAGACCAGUAUGAAAGGCAUCACGAGAUUUAAACUGUCUCCUUUCCCUAAUCAGUGAACCUAAUCUCCCCGUGAAGAAGCGGGGAUAACCCUAUAAGACGAGAAGACCCUGUGGAGCUUAAAACAUUCCUACACGUGCUACCAUAUUCUCCGCCAAGGCCACUACCUCACAGCACGCUGAUUAUAUGUUUUUGGUUGGGGUGACCACGGAGAACAAUAUAUCCUCCGCGAUGAAAGGGGUAUGCCCCCUAAAUAAUAAGCCACAACUUAACCUAUCAAUAAAUUGACAUCCAUUGACCCAAUAUUUUGAUCAACGAACCAAGUUACCCCAGGGAUAACAGCGCAAUCCACUUUUAGAGCUCCUAUCAACAAGUGGGCUUACGACCUCGAUGUUGGAUCAGGGUAUCCCAGUGGUGCAACCGCUACUGAAGGUUCGUUUGUUCAACGAUUAAAACCCU